AGGGAAGCUCAGUCAGUCUGUUAUCAGGUCUGUGUCUCUCCUCCUCCUCAGGGAAGCUCAGUCAGUCUGUUAUCAGGUCUCUGUCUCUCCUCCUCAGGGAAGCUCAGUCAGUCUGUUAUCAGGUCUCUGUCUCUCCUCCUCAGGGAAGCUCAGUCAGUCUGUUAUCAGGUCUGUGUCUCUCCUCCUCCUCAGGGAAGCUCAGUCAGUCUGUUAUCAGGUCUCUGUCUCUCCUCCUCAGGGAAGCUCAGUCAGUCUGUUAUCAGGUCUCUGUCUCUCCUCCUCAGGGAAGCUCAGUCAGUCUGUUAUCAGGUCUCUGUCUCUUCUCCUCAGGGAAGCUCAGUCAGUCUGUUAUCAGGUCUCUGUCUCUCCUCCUCAGGGAAGCUCAGUCAGUCUGUUAUCAGGUCUCUGUCUCUCCUCCUCAGGGAAGCUCAGUCAGUCUGUUAUCAGGUCUCUGUCUCUCCUCCUCAGGGAAGCUCAGUCAGUCUGUUAUCAGGUCUCUCUCUCCUCCUCAGGGAAGCUCAGUAUGUUAUCAGGUCUCUCUCUCCUCCUCAGGGAAGCUCAGUCUGUUAUCAGGUCUCUCUCUCCUCCUCAGGGAAGCUCAGUCUGUUAUCAGGUCUCCGUCUCUCCUCCUCAGGGAAGCUCAGUCUGUUAUCAGGUCUCUCUCUCCUCCUCAGGGAAGCUCAGUCUGUUAUCAGGUCUCUCUCUCCUCCUCAGGGAAGCUCAGUCUGUCUGUUAUCAGGUCUCUGUCUCUUCUCCUCAGGGAAGCUCAGUAUGUUAUCAGGUCUCUCUCUCCUCCUCAGGGAAGCUCAGUCUGUUAUCAGGUCUCUCUCUCCUCCUCAGGGAAGCUCAGUAUGUUAUCAGGUCUCUCUCUCCUCCUCAGGGAAGCUCAGUCUGUUAUCAGGUCUCUGUCUCUUCUCCUCAGGGAAGCUCAGUAUGUUAUCAGGUCUCUCUCUCCUCCUCAGGGAAGCUCAGUCAGUCUGUUAUCAGGUCUCUGUCUCUCCUCCUCAGGGAAGCUCAGUCUGUUAUCAGGUCUGUGUCUCUCCUCCUCCUCAGGGAAGCUCAGUCAGUCUGUUAUCAGGUCUCUGUCUCUCCUCCUCAGGGAAGCUCAGU
Molecule: long non-coding RNA, 1110 nt
Organism: Oncorhynchus keta (chum salmon)
Lineage: Eukaryota; Metazoa; Chordata; Actinopteri; Salmoniformes; Salmonidae
Exons: 3
Source: RefSeq, a predicted model, not a curated record